This 154-nucleotide small nuclear RNA is filed under the name Bemisia tabaci. Its description in RNAcentral is "U12 minor spliceosomal RNA". It matches the Rfam family "U12 minor spliceosomal RNA". From Rfam's summary of the family: Although the U12 sequence is very divergent from that of U2, the two are functionally analogous. Lineage: Eukaryota; Metazoa; Arthropoda; Insecta; Hemiptera; Aleyrodidae. The record is from RNAcentral.
GUGCCUUAAACUAAUGAGUAAGGAAAAUACUAAGCCCUGGUAAUGCUUGGCUUACAAAAUUUAAUUUUACCUUAAUUUUUGAAAGGGUACAGGUCGUCCCCAAUGGGUUGUCCGCCUACUUUAGCGGGUGACCCGGGUGAUAGCGAUCUGCCCU